CGCGUAGACGGUUUUGUAAGUCAGAUGUGAAAUCCCUGGGCUCAACCUGGGAACUGCAUUUGAAACUGCAUGGCUAGAGUAUGGUAGAGGGAAGUGGAAUUUCCGGUGUAGCGGUGAAAUGCGUAGAUAUCGGAAGGAACACCAGUGGCGAAAGCGACUUCCUGGACCAAUACUGACGUUCAUGUGCGAAAGCGUGGGGAGCAAACAGGAUUAGAUACCCUGGUAGUCCACGCCAUAAACGACGACAACUAGAUGUUGGGAGGGUCUGCCUCUCGGUGUCGCAGCUAACGCGUUAAGUUGUCCGCCUGGGGAGUACGGCCGCAAGGUUGAA
Molecule: ribosomal RNA, 331 nt
Filed under: uncultured bacterium
Lineage: Bacteria
Description: bacterial SSU rRNA
Rfam family: Bacterial small subunit ribosomal RNA
Source: RNAcentral